This 782-nucleotide small RNA is filed under the name Drosophila ananassae. RNAcentral describes it as "GF27233". Lineage: Eukaryota; Metazoa; Arthropoda; Insecta; Diptera; Drosophilidae. The record is from RNAcentral.
CAAUUCAUUCAUCCUUGAGAUGAAAGGAUUUUAAACUUAGCUGAAGCAGUUCAAGGACUACCGGCGACUCUGAUAUCAGCAAUUUAGUUUUCCUAGGAUUUAAUUCGCAUAGAUUUUAUACUUUCAUGAAAAAAACUUCUUAUAAAUUGUAGCAUUAUAAACAUAUUACUUGUGCUUGAACUCUGGAUUUGGGAACAAUUUUUCAUCAUCACCUGCUGCGAUAUAGCCUGUAGAAGGAUAUGGAACACACGCGCCACCUUCAUCAGUAAUAUUUAUUUCAACUUUAUCAUCAAGGACACCAUUGGUUGUGUCUAGACGGGCCUUAGACCGUUGCUGCCUUUGGCUUCGUUUAUUUUUUCAUCGAAACAUUUGCAUUUUCAAAGUCAGGGAGAAUCCGUUUCCAUUGAAGUUUUGCUGGGCUAAGCAAAUCAAAUGAAGUUAUAAGCGUUUCACUAACAAAUUGAGCAAACACUUGACGGCUAGCUUUAUUAGAGAAAUGGAAGCCAGUCUCGAUGUGCGCAUAAUUUAUGGUUGCGAUUGUCUGCCUCCCUUCUUUGGGACAUAGCAGAUAACGAGGCACGUCAAUGUUCGCUAAUAAACUCAAGAAGGAUUAAUUUCGUGAUUUAUGAUAUGCAAUAGAGUAAGAAAGAAGGAAGGAUGACCGACCGUAUAAGCUUAAUAAGCUUUGACUGGCUGACAUAAAAUCCCUAGCAUACUUUUCAGCUGUGGCAGGUAUUACCGGCAUUUGUUAAUUAAUUUCGCAGAAUCAAGUGAAAUAGAUA